GAUGAACGCUGGCGGCGUGCCUAAUACAUGCAAGUCGAGCGAACAGACGAUGAGCUUGCUCCUCUGACGUUAGCGGCGGACGGGUGAGUAACACGUGGAUAACCUACCUAUAAGACUGGGAGAAAUUCGGGAAACCGGAGCUGAUACCGGAUAAUAUAUUGAACCGCAUGGUUCAAUAGUGAAAGACGGUUUUGCUGUCACUUAUAGAUGGAUCCGCGCCGCAUUAGCUAGUUGGUAAGGUAACGGCUUACCAAGGCAACGAUGCGUAGCCGACCUGAGAGGGUGAUCGGCCACACUGGAACUGAGACACGGUCCAGACUCCUACGGGAGGCAGCAGUAGGGAAUAUUCCGCAAUGGGCGAAAGCCUGACGGAGCAACGCCGCGUGAGUGAUGAAGGUCUUCGGAUCGUAAAACUCUGUUAUUAGGGAAGAACAACUGUGUAAGUAACUAUGCACGUCUUGACGGUACCUAAUCAGAAAGCCACGGCUAACUACGUG
This 497-nucleotide ribosomal RNA is filed under the name uncultured bacterium. RNAcentral describes it as "partial 16S ribosomal RNA". It matches the Rfam family "Bacterial small subunit ribosomal RNA", at positions 28 to 507 of the family's 1533-position model. The record is from RNAcentral.